ACAGAGGGUGCAAACGUUGUUCGGAAUUACUGGGCGUAAAGCGCGUGUAGGCUGCUCCGAAAGUCGGAUGUGAAAGCCCUGGGCUCAACCUAGGAAGUGCACUCGAAACUUCGGAGCUGGAGUCCUGGAGAGGAAGGCGGAAUUCUCGGUGUAGAGGUGAAAUUCGUAGAUAUCGAGAGGAACACCGGUGGCGAAGGCGGCAUUCUGGACCAAUACUGACGCUGAGGAGCGAAAGCCAGGGGAGCAAACGGGA
RNAcentral lists this ribosomal RNA (253 nucleotides) under uncultured prokaryote. RNAcentral's name for it is "partial 16S ribosomal RNA". It matches the Rfam family "Bacterial small subunit ribosomal RNA", at positions 525 to 777 of the family's 1533-position model. The record is from RNAcentral.